RNAcentral lists this ribosomal RNA (484 nucleotides) under uncultured bacterium. Its description in RNAcentral is "partial 16S ribosomal RNA". It matches the Rfam family "Bacterial small subunit ribosomal RNA", at positions 30 to 507 of the family's 1533-position model. The record is from RNAcentral.
AUUGAACGCUGGCGGCAGGCCUAACACAUGCAAGUCGAGCGGAUGAAGGGAGCUUGCUCCUGGAUUCAGCGGCGGACGGGUGAGUAAUGCCUAGGAAUCUGCCUGGUAGUGGGGGAUAACGUCCGGAAACGGGCGCUAAUACCGCAUACGUCCUGAGGGUGAAAGUGGGGGAUCUUCGGACCUCACGCUAUCAGAUGAGCCUAGGUCGGAUUAGCUAGUUGGUGGGGUAAAGGCCUACCAAGGCGACGAUCCGUAACUGGUCUGAGAGGAUGAUCAGUCACACUGGAACUGAGACACGGUCCAGACUCCUACGGGAGGCAGCAGUGGGGAAUAUUAGACAAUGGGCGAAAGCCUGAUCCAGCCAUGCCGCGUGUGUGAAGAAGGUCUUCGGAUUGUAAAGCACUUUAAGUUGGGAGGGAGGGCAGUAAGUUAAUACCUUGCUGUUUUGACGUUACCAACAGAAUAAGCACCGGCUAACUUCGUG